This 22-nucleotide microRNA is filed under the name Haemonchus contortus (barber pole worm). RNAcentral describes it as "hco-miR-5891". Lineage: Eukaryota; Metazoa; Nematoda; Chromadorea; Rhabditida; Trichostrongylidae. The record is from miRBase by way of RNAcentral.
AUAGCGAUAUCCUCUGAAUGGU